RNAcentral lists this ribosomal RNA (460 nucleotides) under uncultured bacterium. RNAcentral describes it as "partial 16S ribosomal RNA". It matches the Rfam family "Bacterial small subunit ribosomal RNA", at positions 338 to 795 of the family's 1533-position model. The record is from RNAcentral.
ACUACGGGAGGCAGCAGGGAGGAAUAUUGGUCAAUGGGCGGAAGCCUGAACCAGCCAAGUAGCGUGCAGGAUGACGGCCCUACGGGUUGUAAACUGCUUUUAUACGGGAAUAACGCGCCUUACGUGUAGGGCUUUGCAUGUACCGUAUGAAUAAGGACCGGCUAAUUCCGUGCCAGCAGCCGCGGUAAUACGGACGGUCCGGGCGUUAUCCGGAGUUAUUGGGUUUAAAGGGAGCGUAGGCCGCAGGUCAAGCGUGCUGUGAAAUGUCCGGGCUCAACCCGGGCCUUGCAGCGCGAACUGGCGUGCUUGAGUCCGCGGAAAGCAGGCGGAAUUCGUCGUGUAGCGGUGAAAUGCUUAGAUAUGACGAAGAACCCCGAUUGCGAAGGCAGCUUGCUGCAGCGGAACUGACGCUGAUGCUCGAAAGCGCGGGUAUCGAACAGGAUUAGAUACCCUUGUAGUC